Molecule: ribosomal RNA, 2925 nt
Filed under: Klebsiella pneumoniae
Lineage: Bacteria; Pseudomonadati; Pseudomonadota; Gammaproteobacteria; Enterobacterales; Enterobacteriaceae
Description: bacterial LSU rRNA
Rfam family: Bacterial large subunit ribosomal RNA
Source: RNAcentral
GGGUUGUGAGGUUAAGCGACUAAGCGUACACGGUGGAUGCCCUGGCAGUCAGAGGCGAUGAAGGACGUGCUAAUCUGCGAAAAGCGUCGGUAAGGUGAUAUGAACCGUUAUAACCGGCGAUGUCCGAAUGGGGAAACCCAGUGCAAUUCGUUGCACUAUCGUUAACUGAAUACAUAGGUUAACGAGGCGAACCGGGGGAACUGAAACAUCUAAGUACCCCGAGGAAAAGAAAUCAACCGAGAUUCCCCCAGUAGCGGCGAGCGAACGGGGAGCAGCCCAGAGUCUGAAUCAGCUUGUGUGUUAGUGGAACGGUCUGGAAAGUCCGACGGUACAGGGUGAUAGUCCCGUACACCAAAAUGCACAGGCUGUGAACUCGAAGAGUAGGGCGGGACACGUGGUAUCCUGUCUGAAUAUGGGGGGACCAUCCUCCAAGGCUAAAUACUCCUGACUGACCGAUAGUGAACCAGUACCGUGAGGGAAAGGCGAAAAGAACCCCGGCGAGGGGAGUGAAAAAGAACCUGAAACCGUGUACGUACAAGCAGUGGGAGCACCUUCGGGUGUGACUGCGUACCUUUUGUAUAAUGGGUCAGCGACUUAUAUUCUGUAGCAAGGUUAACCGUAUAGGGGAGCCGCAGGGAAACCGAGUCUUAACUGGGCGUUAAGUUGCAGGGUAUAGACCCGAAACCCGGUGAUCUAGCCAUGGGCAGGUUGAAGGUUGGGUAACACUAACUGGAGGACCGAACCGACUAAUGUUGAAAAAUUAGCGGAUGACUUGUGGCUGGGGGUGAAAGGCCAAUCAAACCGGGAGAUAGCUGGUUCUCCCCGAAAGCUAUUUAGGUAGCGCCUCGUGAAUUCAUCUUCGGGGGGUAGAGCACUGUUUCGGCUAGGGGGUCAUCCCGACUUACCAACCCGAUGCAAACUACGAAUACCGAAGAAUGUUAUCACGGGAGACACACGGCGGGUGCUAACGUCCGUCGUGAAGAGGGAAACAACCCAGACCGCCAGCUAAGGUCCCAAAGUCAUGGUUAAGUGGGAAACGAUGUGGGAAGGCACAGACAGCCAGGAUGUUGGCUUAGAAGCAGCCAUCAUUUAAAGAAAGCGUAAUAGCUCACUGGUCGAGUCGGCCUGCGCGGAAGAUGUAACGGGGCUAAACCAUGCACCGAAGCUGCGGCAGCGACACUAUGUGUUGUUGGGUAGGGGAGCGUUCUGUAAGCCUGCGAAGGUGACCUGUGAGGGUUGCUGGAGGUAUCAGAAGUGCGAAUGCUGACAUAAGUAACGAUAAAGCGGGUGAAAAGCCCGCUCGCCGGAAGACCAAGGGUUCCUGUCCAACGUUAAUCGGGGCAGGGUGAGUCGACCCCUAAGGCGAGGCCGAAAGGCGUAGUCGAUGGGAAACAGGUUAAUAUUCCUGUACUUGGUGUUACUGCGAAGGGGGGGACGGAGAAGGCUAUGUUAGCCGGGCGACGGUUGUCCCGGUUUAAGCAUGUAGGCUGGUUAUCCAGGCAAAUCCGGAUAAUCAAGGCUGAGGUGUGAUGACGAGGCACUACGGUGCUGAAGUAACAAAUGCCCUGCUUCCAGGAAAAGCCUCUAAGCAUCAGGUAACAUCAAAUCGUACCCCAAACCGACACAGGUGGUCAGGUAGAGAAUACCAAGGCGCUUGAGAGAACUCGGGUGAAGGAACUAGGCAAAAUGGUGCCGUAACUUCGGGAGAAGGCACGCUGGUGUGUAGGUGAAGUCCCUGCGGAUGGAGCUGAGACCAGUCGAAGAUACCAGCUGGCUGCAACUGUUUAUUAAAAACACAGCACUGUGCAAACACGAAAGUGGACGUAUACGGUGUGACGCCUGCCCGGUGCCGGAAGGUUAAUUGAUGGGGUUAUCCGUAAGGAGAAGCUCUUGAUCGAAGCCCCGGUAAACGGCGGCCGUAACUAUAACGGUCCUAAGGUAGCGAAAUUCCUUGUCGGGUAAGUUCCGACCUGCACGAAUGGCGUAAUGAUGGCCAGGCUGUCUCCACCCGAGACUCAGUGAAAUUGAACUCGCUGUGAAGAUGCAGUGUACCCGCGGCAAGACGGAAAGACCCCGUGAACCUUUACUAUAGCUUGACACUGAACAUUGAGCCUUGAUGUGUAGGAUAGGUGGGAGGCUUUGAAGCGUGGACGCCAGUCUGCGUGGAGCCAACCUUGAAAUACCACCCUUUAAUGUUUGAUGUUCUAACGUUGGCCCCUUACCGGGGUUGCGGACAGUGUCUGGUGGGUAGUUUGACUGGGGCGGUCUCCUCCCAAAGCGUAACGGAGGAGCACGAAGGUUAGCUAAUCCUGGUCGGACAUCAGGAGGUUAGUGCAAUGGCAUAAGCUAGCUUGACUGCGAGCGUGACGGCGCGAGCAGGUGCGAAAGCAGGUCAUAGUGAUCCGGUGGUUCUGAAUGGAAGGGCCAUCGCUCAACGGAUAAAAGGUACUCCGGGGAUAACAGGCUGAUACCGCCCAAGAGUUCAUAUCGACGGCGGUGUUUGGCACCUCGAUGUCGGCUCAUCACAUCCUGGGGCUGAAGUAGGUCCCAAGGGUAUGGCUGUUCGCCAUUUAAAGUGGUACGCGAGCUGGGUUUAGAACGUCGUGAGACAGUUCGGUCCCUAUCUGCCGUGGGCGCUGGAGAAUUGAGGGGGGCUGCUCCUAGUACGAGAGGACCGGAGUGGACGCAUCACUGGUGUUCGGGUUGUCAUGCCAAUGGCACUGCCCGGUAGCUAAAUGCGGAAGAGAUAAGUGCUGAAAGCAUCUAAGCACGAAACUUGCCCCGAGAUGAGUUCUCCCUGAGACUUUAAGUCUCCUGAAGGAACGUUAAAGACGAUGACGUUGAUAGGCCGGGUGUGUAAGCGCAGCGAUGCGUUGAGCUAACCGGUACUAAUGAACCGUGAGGCUUAACCUUACAACGCCGAAG